Molecule: long non-coding RNA, 304 nt
Filed under: Hordeum vulgare
Lineage: Eukaryota; Viridiplantae; Streptophyta; Magnoliopsida; Poales; Poaceae
Description: long non-coding RNA (HVUL_LNC009607)
Source: RNAcentral
UACCAUACCCUUGUGAAGCAUGAGUAGCAGGCUGGCUGUAAUUGUACCUGCUAGCACCAGCAGGCACAACAGUUCCAGUGGCAAACUGUUGUGGUUGAGAUUGCUGCUGUUGGUUACAGUAGUCAUAGCCAGUGCCAAGGGGAGCUGCUGUGCCAUAAGGUUGCUGGCCAUACUAUGGUGGUGCACCAGGAUAAGCUCCGAGCUGCAUGUAAACCUGUUGUUGUGUUGCUGGUGCAUCAGGCGCAACCCAGUUUGCCCGAGGGCAGAGAGGAUGGUAGCCCUGUUGGAUUUCUGGCACGAUUCA